ACGGGAGGCAGCCGUGGGGAAUAUUGCACAAUGAGCGCAAGCCUGAUGCAGCGAUGCCGCGUGAGGGAAGAAGGUUUUCGGAUUGUAAACCUCUGUCAUCGGGGACGAUAAUGACUGUACCCGAGAAGGAAGCUCCGGCUAACUACGUGCCAGCAGCCGCGGUAAUACGUAGGGAGCGAGCGUUAUCCGGAAUUACUGGGUGUAAAGGGAGUGUAGGCGGGACUGUAAGUCAGAUGUGAAAUAUGCCGGCUCAACUGGCAGACUGCAUUUGAAACUGCGGUUCUUGAGUGAAGUAGAGGUAAGCGGAAUUCCUAGUGUAGCGGUGAAAUGCGUAGAUAUUGGGAGGAACACCAGUGGCGAAGGCGGCCUGCUGGGCUUUAACUGACGCUGAGGCACGAAAGUAUGGGGAGCAAACAGGAUUAGAUACCCUGGUA
This 434-nucleotide ribosomal RNA is filed under the name uncultured Ruminococcus sp. RNAcentral's name for it is "bacterial SSU rRNA". It matches the Rfam family "Bacterial small subunit ribosomal RNA", at positions 341 to 792 of the family's 1533-position model. The record is from RNAcentral. Lineage: Bacteria; Bacillati; Bacillota; Clostridia; Eubacteriales; Oscillospiraceae.